UGGUGAUUGCCCCCGUGCAUUGACCGGGAGCCAAACGGGUGUGCCAACACCGGAAUCAUAAGAGCUGGGCACACAGCGAAUCGAAAGGAGCGAGCCAGCGCACAUUCACACGCCCGCACGUUGACCCCAUCAAAAGACGUUCUCCGGGAGCUCAAGAGAGGGGGGGGAGGUGAGCGGUGCAGAAGCCGUGUGGAAAGGAUUCCAGACAGCCGCGAGCGAUGGUGCGCGUUGCCAUGUCCAGUCACAUUGAGCAGGCUGCCACUUGCUUGCGUUGCGGCAACCACGACGGAGCCGCUGCCGCGCUGCGGGAGCUGGAGGUGGGUGAGGGUGUGCGGACGCUGCAAACUGCAGUGCAGUGCCUCAUGAACGAGAAGGGCGCGAGCGAUGACGUGUAUGUGCGCUUCGUCGCCUUCAAGGUGCUGGCGUAUGCGCUGACGCGCUGCCGAGAUGGCCGUCGGCAGCAAAGCGACACGGUGAUCGCUUUUCUACUCGGCUACGCCUAUCAAAUGACGGCGCAGGUGGAGACGCCCGCGUGGACGCCGGUAGUGUCGGAACUCGCCACAGCCACAGCUGUGGCGCUCAAACUCGGCUGCGUCGGUGAUAAUCUCGACGUUUGCGUGGAGGAGGUAACAGCAGUGUGCGUGGGCCUCGUUGAUUUAGCGCAGACCUGCACUCCAUCUCCAAAGGCAUACCUUCAUCGCAUCAUCUGCCAGUCCGCUGUGGAGGAGUUCGGUCUUUUCAGCGCGCCCUCCCGCUAUCGAGGAUUGCCAGUGCGCGUGCACCGGCACUGCCGGAAACUGUUCGCCGAGGAGGGCCGUCUACCCACCCUAAUUCAGGCCCUCCUUCGCGGCCUCCUCGUGUCAGCAGGUGAGUCAUCUAUGUCUGUGGACAAGGGGCUAACGGCACUGGUGUCGUGCCUAUCCUGGCCGUCGCAUCAGUUUUUCGAGGAGGACUCGUCGACCGAGGAGUCGUGUGGCGUGUUCUACGUCGCCCAUGAGGAGUGGGAUCGGUUGCUUGUCGGCGACGUGGGCCUCGAGAGCGGCGCGUGCGUCACUGUGCACGGUGUGCUGCGGGAGUGGUACGGAAGCGGCGCCGUGAACGGCGUGCCGGUCAAUCGGCAGAAGGUCAUCGAGAUUAUUCAGCUCUUGUGCUCUUUCAAGGGCAGCGAAUGGACGGAGGGGCAGACACUGCGCUUCCUUGUGUCUUCCCUGUCGCUAUGCCUGGAUGUGUUCGAGCACCUGUCCCAGUGGGCCACGGAAGACGAUUUUCACCUUUUCCCGCUUUUGGCCAACGCGAUCCUGCGACUGGUGUCGAACUACGUGGACUUCUUCUUUCACCCGCAGGCGCACGCCCUCGUCUCGCGACUGACGGCCUUGACAGGCUUUCUUAUUCGACGCGACACUUCUAGCAACACUGACACUGAUGUGAUGUCGUGUGUGGAUGAGAUGCUGAGCGUCUGGUUUCACUUAACGUCCUACAUUGACCGUAACAGCUUUUCCGGAAACGGCUCCGAGACGAUUGCGCAACGCCACCUUAUCAGCCAAGGUUGCCAAUCCAUCUUCUCCACGUAUCUCGACACCAAAGUUAACACUGACACCGCCGAGCUGGAGCUGGACUGCUUUGCCGACACCUUCACCAAUUCGCACCUGCACCUCGUUGCGCAGGUCGGCCGCCUCUGCGCUAGCAACACAUGCGAGCUGCUUAUCCGAUACUUGCGGUCGCUGCGAUCCACCUUGGCGAGCACCCUCGGUGCUGGCGGCGCUGCUCCUACGCCGCUCUUCGAGGCUCUUUGGACGCUGCUGAAGAUUGUCGGCUUCUUCAUUGCCGACCCGCUCGAGGGUGAGCAGCCCUACAUCCCUCGCUGCUUCCUUGAGAUGGGCUCACAAGGCAGUGCGUUGCUGCUUCACCUUGUCAAGGAGGUGGACGCACUUCUGCCACUGCUGCAGAACCCUGCAGCGGCGAGCCCGGCAGUGCUCGCGGCCUUCCUUGACGUCCUCACACAGUACAUCAAAACGUAUGUUGAGGCCGAGGAAAGCUGCACCCUCUACGCCGACGCCUUCAGCGGUGGUGCGGACAUGGUUGCGCAGUCGCUGCUUGCCGUAGUGGGUGCACUACGCCUCACUCCCUUCGAGGAGGAGUCGACUUCUGCAGCUUGUCGGCUACUCGACUCCGUGGCAGACAAGAGCAGCCGCGUGCGCAGCUUCUGCCACCGUCAGGAGGCGUUUCAGGCGUUGACGCGGGCUGUACAGGAAAUUCAUCGAUUUCGCUUUUACGGACACACACGGGGACGCCUCAUCGCGUUUGUCAUCUCGUGCUGCUCAGACGCAGACAGCGUGCAGGCACGGCUUCGCGACUUAGCCCUCUCACCGUCCUCUGAGGAUGAUGUGAACCUGGUGCUAGAGCUGCUCAGUUCACUGGCGGGGCUUUUCGAGUCGCUGCACAGCCAGCAGGUUAUUCGGUGCGUCUUUCCGGCCUUGCUCGCGACAGGACAGCGACUGAUUGGCGUAUCCGCCUCGAAGUUUUAUGAGCGCGAGAUCGUCAUCGAGUCUAUGCAGUGUGUGCGCAGCAUGUUUGUCACCUGCUCGCCUCUUCUGGAGGACAGCGACAUUCGCAUGCUGCUGGACCUUGUCGUCGCGGAGCUGCGCUACGCUGUGACGGCCCUGCAGAGCAGCAGCGCGUGGACUUCUGCCGACGGCGAGGGCGACAGAGCCGAGUUCAUUAUCGCAACCGCGAGGCUUCUCAGCUCCCUGGCGCAGUGGAAGGCGCUGGACUGCUUUCUCUCCGACGACGACACACGCGCAGUCUCGAUUGCCACAGUGGAGGCCGCCGGUGCGUUGCUGCGUCACAUGGACGAGCGCUCACUGAGCUUGCCGAGUCUCGAGGAUGGUAUUUUCACCUGUAUGGAGCUCUGCGCCGAGUCUUUCACCGCGGACUUUGUGUUUGCAAGCUGCUCCGAUGCGUUUCUCUCCGCUAUGCUAUACGCACUCAACAGUGAGCGGGCCAACAUCCAACGCGCCGGCAUCUCCGUCACAGCCAGCGUCGCAGCCUUCUUGGAGGCUUCCACUCCCCCGGCGAGUCACGCCAGCGCGUGCUGCGACCUGCUGAAGGUCGUGCUGCGCUCCCUGACGUCCGGAAAAGUGUUCUUCAGAAAUCUACGGCAGAUAUCUCGUGUCCUUCUCAUUUUGGUUCGAGGCUUACCGUACGAUAGCCUGGUUGCGACGGUGGAGACUGUGAUGAGGGAGGUCUCCAACUGCGACGCGUUUGUCACCGCCAUCUUCCCAGCACUCCAGUCGGCUGCCGGGAGCGCCAACGCAAGCGAGUCUGGUUUUGAGGAGCUAUUACAAGAUGCUCUAUCCUCUGUUCACGGCACUACCAUCAUAGGCGCCUAGCGCGGUGUGCAGGGCCACGCUAACGGGUGCGAGUAAGAUUUGUGGAUAGAGGAGACGCUGAAGCGACGCCUCGCAUCUUCUUUUCCUCAUUUUGGCCAACAAGGAGGUAUGAAGGCAGUGGUGCGUUUGAUCACUGAUUGCCUCGCUGAGGCCUGCUUCGUGCGUAAGCGAAAGAGGAAAGAUACAUACAGCGCUCUAAUCGAACUACGUACGCCGAGAACGAUAUCAGUGGUGUCCCCCCCCCCCGCUAGCGUCGCAUCUCUUCGUGCUCUUGGCACUCAGUAGUGCACCCUUCUCG
Molecule: unclassified non-coding RNA, 3687 nt
Filed under: Leishmania donovani
Lineage: Eukaryota; Euglenozoa; Kinetoplastea; Trypanosomatida; Trypanosomatidae
Description: gene:LdHU3.36.0160(CDS-product:hypothetical_prote in_conserved)
Source: RNAcentral